AAUUGACCUCGGAUCAGGUAGGGAUACCCGCUGAACUUAAGCAUAUCAAUAAGCGGAGGAAAAGAAACCAAUAGGGAUUGCCUCAGUAACGGCGAGUGAAGCGGCAACAGCUCAAAUUUUGAAAUCUGGCCCCUGCGGGGUCCGAAUUGUAAUUUGUAGAGAGUGCUUCGGGCGAGGCUGCGGUCUAAGUCCAUUGGAACAUGGUGUCAUAGAGGGUGAGAAUCCCGUAUGCGACCGUGGCUCGAGCCCAUGUGAAGCCUCUUCGACGAGUCGAGUUGUUUGGGAAUGCAGCUCAAAAUGGGUGGUAAAUUUCAUCUAAAGCUAAAUACUGGCUGGAGACCGAUAGCGCACAAGUAGAGUGAUCGAAAGAUGAAAAGCACUUUGGAAAGAGAGUCAAACAGUACGUGAAAUUGUUGAAAGGGAAGCGCUUGCAACCAGACCUGCCCGUGGGCGAUCAGCCGCUGUUCUCAGCGGUGCACUCGCUCUGCGAUCAGGCCAGCAUCGGUUUCGGCGGCCGGAUAAAGGCCUUGGGAAUGUAGCUUCCCUCCGGGGAAGUCUUAUAGCCCUCGGUGCAAUGCGGCCAGCCGGGACCGAGGACCGCG
This 602-nucleotide ribosomal RNA is filed under the name Omphalodiella patagonica. RNAcentral describes it as "LSU rRNA". It matches the Rfam family "Eukaryotic large subunit ribosomal RNA", at positions 1 to 524 of the family's 3401-position model. Lineage: Eukaryota; Fungi; Ascomycota; Lecanoromycetes; Lecanorales; Parmeliaceae. The record is from RNAcentral.